AUGGAGAUGAUGCAUAAAUACACCUGACUUCCAGUGAUGUUUUUGUAUUCAUACUGUCUGAUCCAG
Scomber scombrus (Atlantic mackerel) is the source of this 66-nucleotide small nucleolar RNA. The record is from RefSeq and is a predicted model, not a curated record. NCBI's taxonomy places the organism in Eukaryota, Metazoa, Chordata, Actinopteri, Scombriformes, Scombridae.